Molecule: ribosomal RNA, 230 nt
Filed under: uncultured bacterium
Lineage: Bacteria
Description: partial 16S ribosomal RNA
Rfam family: Bacterial small subunit ribosomal RNA
Source: RNAcentral
GCGUGCGCAGGCGGUUUUGUAAGACUGUCGUGAAAUCCCCCGGGGCUCAAACCUGGGAAUGGCGAUGGUGACUGCAAGGCUAGAGUUUGGCAGAGGGGGGUAGAAUUCCACGUGUAGCAGUGAAAUGCGUAGAUAUGUGGAGGAACACCGAUGGCGAAGGCAGCCCCCUGGGUCAAAACUGACGCUCAUGCACGAAAGCGUGGGGAGCAAACAGGAUUAGAUACCCUGGU